Molecule: ribosomal RNA, 409 nt
Filed under: Fusobacteriota bacterium
Lineage: Bacteria; Fusobacteriati; Fusobacteriota
Description: Fusobacteria bacterium partial 16S ribosomal RNA
Rfam family: Bacterial small subunit ribosomal RNA
Source: RNAcentral
UGGGGAAUAUUGCACAAUGGAGGGAACUCUGAUGCAGCAACGCCGCGUGCGGGAUGACGGCCUUCGGGUUGUAAACCGCUUUCAGCCAUGACGAAGCUUUUGUGACGGUAGUGGUAGAAGAAGCACCGGCUAACUACGUGCCAGCAGCCGCGGUGAUACGUAGGGUGCGAGCGUUGUCCGGAAUUAUUGGGCGUAAAGAGCUUGUAGGCGGUUUGUCGCGUCGAAAGUGUAAACUCAGUGCUUAACGCUGAGCCUGCUUUCGAUACGGGCUGACUAGAGGAGGGUAGGGGGGAAUGGAAUUCCCGGUGGAGCGGUGGAAUGCGCAGAUAUCGGGAGGAACACCAGUGGCGAAGGCGGUUCUCUGGACCUUUCCUGACGCUGAGAAGCGAAAGCGUGGGUAGCAAACAGG